GAUGAACGCUGGCGGCGUGCCUAAUACAUGCAAGUCGAGCGAACAGACGAGGAGCUUGCUCCUCUGACGUUAGCGGCGGACGGGUGAGUAACACGUGGAUAACCUACCUAUAAGACUGGGAGAACUUCGGGAAACCGGUGCUAAUACCGCAUAAUAUAUUGAACCGCAUGGUUCAAUAGUGAAAGACGGUUUUGCUGUCACUUAUAGAUGGAUCCGCGCCGCAUUAGCUAGUUGGUAAGGUAACGGCUUACCAAGGCGACGAUGCGUAGCCGACCUGAGAGGGUGAUCGGCCACACUGGAACUGAGACACGGUCCAGACUCCUACGGGAGGCAGCAGUAGGGAAUCUUCCGCAAUGGGCGAAAGCCUGACGGAGCAACGCCGCGUGGGUGAUGAAGGUCUUCGGAUCGUAAAACUCUGUUAUUGGGGAAGAACAAAUGUGUAAGUAACUAUGCACGUCUUGACGGUACCUAAUCAGAAAGCCACGGCUAACUACGUG
RNAcentral lists this ribosomal RNA (497 nucleotides) under uncultured bacterium. Its description in RNAcentral is "partial 16S ribosomal RNA". It matches the Rfam family "Bacterial small subunit ribosomal RNA", at positions 28 to 507 of the family's 1533-position model. The record is from RNAcentral.